GCUACCUAGUCACCGGCUGGUAAGAAGUGCAGGCAGUCUAAGCCUGGUUAUUGCAACCGGGUGUCAGGCAGCCAAAGCUUCGGCCGCGUGAUCUUCUUAGAAGGACUGGUGGCUUUUAGCCACACGAAAUAGAGCAAUAACAGGUCUGUGAUGCCCUUAGAUGUUCUGGGCCGCACACGCGCUACACUGAAGUUAUCAGCUAGUCUCCCUAGGCGUGAGCCGCGGGUAAACUGUUGAAUCAACUUCGUGGCAGGGAUCGGAGCUUGCAAUUAUUCUCCGUGAACCAGGAAUGCCCAGUAGGUACGAGUUAUCAGCUUGUAUCGAUUAAGUCCCUGCCCUUUGUACACACCGCCCGUCGCUACUACCGAUUGAAUGUCUCAGUGAGAUGCUUGGAUGGCUGGAGAUCUGUCCUAACGGGCUCUCCCCAGCUAGAAGACCAUCAAGCUGAUGCAUUUAGAGGAAGUAAAAGUCGUAACAAGGUAUCCGGUAGGUGAA
Molecule: ribosomal RNA, 495 nt
Filed under: Acartia danae
Lineage: Eukaryota; Metazoa; Arthropoda; Copepoda; Calanoida; Acartiidae
Description: bacterial SSU rRNA
Rfam family: Eukaryotic small subunit ribosomal RNA
Source: RNAcentral